RNAcentral lists this ribosomal RNA (253 nucleotides) under uncultured bacterium. RNAcentral's name for it is "partial 16S ribosomal RNA". It matches the Rfam family "Bacterial small subunit ribosomal RNA", at positions 524 to 776 of the family's 1533-position model. The record is from RNAcentral.
UACGGGGGGGGCAAGCGUUGUUCGGAAUUACUGGGCGUAAAGGGCUCGUAGGCGGCCAACUAAGUCAGAUGUGAAAUCCCCAGGCUUAACCUGGGAACUGCAUCUGAUACUGGAUGGCUUGAAUCCGGGAGAGGGAUGCAGAAUUCCAGGUGUAGCGGUGAAAUGCGCAGAUAUCGGGAGGAACACCUAUGGCGAAGGCAGCUCGCUGGGACGUUACUGACGCUGAGACGCGAAAGCGUGGGGAGCAAACAGG